CCGAAUUUGAAGCGUACACGUAACGAAAUAAUCUUUCCCUUGAAAAUUUCCAUUCGUAUGACGUCGUGUUUUGCCAUGACGUAAAUUCGCCAAAUCCUUCAUGAAAUUUCGCGGAAUUUUAUUAAAUUUAAUUUUUGUACAUUUUCGAAGCUUUAGUGCAAUAAAUUUAUUUCUUUUUUUGUUAUAUAUGCACUAGAAUAGUCACAACUGUUAUGCAAUUGUUUUUUAAUCUCAAUUUGCUGAAAAUCCCGGGAUCACUGCAAGCUUGUGUAUCGCGCA
RNAcentral lists this long non-coding RNA (279 nucleotides) under Mytilus galloprovincialis (Mediterranean mussel). Lineage: Eukaryota; Metazoa; Mollusca; Bivalvia; Mytilida; Mytilidae. The record is from RNAcentral.